Carlito syrichta (Philippine tarsier) is the source of this 357-nucleotide RNA transcript. It is a transcript of the gene named fatty acid-binding protein, epidermal pseudogene, with no coding region annotated. The transcript has a single exon. The record is from RefSeq and is a predicted model, not a curated record. NCBI's taxonomy places the organism in Eukaryota, Metazoa, Chordata, Mammalia, Primates, Tarsiidae.
CUGACGGACAGCAAAGGCUUUGAUGAAUACAUGAAGGAGCUAGGAGUGGGAUUAGCUCUGCGAAAAAUGGAUGCAAUGGCCAAGCCAGAUUGUAUCAUCGCUUGUGAUGGCAAAAACCUCACCAUAAAAACCGAGAGCACUUUGGAAACAACACAGUUUUCCUGUACCCUGGGAGAGAAGUGUGAAGAAACUACCGCUGACGGCAGAAAAACUCAGACCGUCUGCAACUUUCCAGAUGGCGCGUUGGUUCAACAUCAGGGGUGGGAUGGGAAGGAAAGCACAAUAACAAGAAAGUCAAAAGAUGAUCCAUUAGUGGUGGACUGUGUCAUGAACAAUGUCCCCUGUACUCGGGUCUAG